Molecule: long non-coding RNA, 14151 nt
Filed under: Gallus gallus (chicken)
Lineage: Eukaryota; Metazoa; Chordata; Aves; Galliformes; Phasianidae
Description: lncRNA (ENSGALG00010014785.1)
Source: RNAcentral
GGAAUUUAGUGCCAGCUACUAGAGCCAGGCUGGGGAUGUGGGUGCCCUUGGCCCGUAGUGCCAGCUGCUGGAGUGAAUGGGAGUCCUGAGGUCAGUAACUGGAGAGUCCUCUCUGGAAGUAAGAGGAUCUCAACAAACUCUGAGCCUGGAGUAGCAGCUACUGGGGGAUCAGCGUGAGUAAACUGAUGCCAGCUACCAGAACAAGUAGAAGUCCCAGCCAUGGGGCAGGAGUAAUGUGUGCUCCCAAACUAUGGAGGAAACACAGUGAGGGGGGCAGUGCAGACUCUCUACCAGCAACAGGAGCAGGGCCAUGGGUUGGUCAUGCUUCAUAUGCCUGGAGCCAAUUGCUUGAGGAGUCUAGUGUCUGUAUCUUUCCCACCUGUUGCGCAUGUGUAUUCUCUAGCAAACUUUAAACUGGGCUUGCCAGUACACAGUAACGGCCUCAGAUCUGGGCCAGGUAUCAGGCACACAGUGGGUUUGUGCUGGUACAGGCAGGAGGACCUGUGAAUGUGGUGUGCAUAAGGAAUGAGUAUGUGAUGUAUGAAAUGGAAAAGAGGGCCUGGCAUCUGUGCAAGGGUGCUGAGUGGAGAGAGGAUCUCUGAGGUACAUCUGCAGCUUUACUACCAGUUCUCCAGUGGUAAAGAAGCAGCAGCAGCUGAGUCCUCAGCCUAGGUAGAGAUCUAGGGUCGCUGGGCACCAGACUGGGCCCCAACAGCCAGGCGCAAGCAGUCCCCAAGGCCACCUGGAAGAGAUGGCUGUGCUCCUUACCUCACUUAGCAAUUUAACUUUCAGUCAGAUGUAGUCUGAGUCACUCUUUGGAUAGAAGCAACAUCUACUUAAAAUCUUAUGCAGAUUUCAUUUACAUCUCAGUUCUACAAGUCUGAGGGAGUGGAGGUGCUUUUGCCUACUUAGCUUUCAAGAGGAAGCUCUGAGAUGCUGCUGGGUUUCCCAGGCAAGUUCUGCAUGAUCACAACUAUUUUACACCAAAGAUAAUGAUCACAGGUGAAGGCUAUUCUGUUAAUUGCCUUCACUCUGUUCCACAGCUAGUUAAAACCUGCAAGGGCAAGAUGCAGAACUGUGUGUUAUCUCUUUAGCAGACUGAAGCUCUCAAUUCAUUACAGCCUGCAGAAAGGAAGCAUGCAGAUUAGAAGAGCACCUAUUUGGUGUGCUUGUAGGAUACAGAGAUCUCAAUUUUAAAACCAUCCCUAUUCAAGCACACUAAUGUCUUCUCUGGAAUACAUCCCCACACCAAAACAGCUGGUACUGUGUGUGCUUCAUACUGACUGAUAGGGAAGAAGAUAUUCCCCAUACCAUCUUCUCCUGCCUGCUAAAGCAUCAAACAACCAAGGAUUGGAGAAAUCUUCUGUGGCUCCUCUUAUAUACCCUGAGGAAGUUUUGCCAGAGGUGAACUAGAUCUUGCUCAAGUGUUUGCAUAGGAAGUUGGCCACCUGGAGGUAACGAUGAGGGAGGAACUUCUCUUGUCUCUUUUGCUGUCCUUAUAUCAAGAGACUCUUGUAAGCCUCUUUUAAUAUAAAGCCUCUAUUUUCUGUUGGGUUCCUCUGUGGAAGAUAAUGAUCUUGGUAAAAUGUUUACCUAGACUUCCUUACACAAAGAGCUAUCAUGACAAUGUACUUUCUUAAGUAUGUAAUUUUAGUCAGUAAAAAAGAAACGUGUGGUUCCAGACAGGGAAAAUACUAUUGCUGCAUUUUUUUUCUUUUACUGUCUUAGCGGUUGUGAAGGAAGAAAUACGUGAUUCAGUUGAUCUGCACAUACUGUUGCAGUUUGGUCAGGCAAAAUAUCCUGAGACAUCUUCUGUGUUGAUACUUAUCUUUGGAGACUGGUAUUAUGAGCUAAACUAAGAGAGCAUGUAAUUAACAUUUAUAUGCACAGUAAUUUAAAUUAUAGUAGAAUGUAUAGGAUCUUUAGAAGGCCAUAAGACAGCUAGUUUUAAUUCAGAUAUCCUAAGAUAAUGUAGGUAGUGUCCAGAUAAACAUGCCAGUACUGCUUGCUUUGUUCAUCUAAAUAUAUUGUUAUUUUGCCAAUUUUCUAGAGCAAUGGAGUAGUAAAGUAGAGGUCAAAAUAGAUUCUACAAAGCAAUAUGCAAUUCAAUUCUUUAACCCUAACCCAAGUGUGGGAAUUAUUAAGAGUUCUGGGAUACUUUAUUGAGCCUACAGCCACAAGUCAGUAUUUUCUUAGAGAGAGAGAGAGAAUGAUGAAAGAAUAAUAAAAUCAUUAUGUGAUAAUUUACACCAGAAGUGCAAAAGCCCUGUUGUAUCCAUGCACCUAAAUAUAGGUUGAACAAAAAAAAAGGGGGGGGGGGGGCAGUUAAAGCAAUUUCCAUCCUCAGGUUAUGUUACAAACCUUGUAUUUAGUGAAAGGAGAAUGAGUAGCUUCCUAAAAGCACAGAUACUCAAGGUGAUCAUAUUCUGUAUGCUGUAGUAAGAGGGGAAAAAAAAGCUAUAAAGACAGUAUUUAUCUUUGCUGAUGGUAACCUAAUUAACCAUAAACUGUACUAAAAUGCAGCAGUGUCCAAGGAUGACUUGCUCCUUCUGUACUGACAGGCAUAGAAAUGUUGGCAAUAAAUUUAAGCUGUAAGGCUAUAUUCCAGUAUCUUCUAAUUUAUCUGCAGAGUGUCAGCCUCUAUCAGCUGGCGUUGACCGAAACAGGGCAUAAAAGGACAGAUGUACCAAUUUUGUACUUCAUUUACACAUUGGAAAAGAACAAGAUUCUUUCUCUUCCCCUGGGAAGAUUUAAAUAGUCACUGACUUUAGCAAACAAAUAUGUGAGAGGCAUAAGGAUGCUUCAUAAGGUUCUGGUCUGGAAUUAGUAUGGAAUAUUUUUAUUUUUUAAGUAGUAGUUAAUACUGACAUUUAUUUUUCAAAUUAUUUGGUUUCCAAAUUAUUUCAGCUAAAAAUAAAAGCAAUUGUGAGGAAAAUUCUGAGAAGAAAUAACAUACAGGUUUUUAAGCUCUUUUUAAAUCUUGAUUUUUUUUUUUUUUUUUUAAUGUGUGCAACAAUGGUUUUGCUCAGAGCUACAGUUUCUUGUGGUAUGUAGUAUUUAAGUUUGUUUCUUUUGGAAGAACUGAAAGUAAAAUCAAGGAAAUGAAUGGAACACAAGAUACUUGCUUAUGUUCCUGAAGGUGGUAGCUCUGCUGCCUUCCCUCUAUGAAGUAUAUGCGGAGAUGCAGUAGGAGAUCUGAUCCAUGGCUUCUGAAGUACAGCAUUUGCUAUCCUGUAUAAGUGAUAAGUAAGAAGAGCACAUCCUUAGUCAUGUAUGAAUAAUACUAGGUUCUUUCUUGCACAUCUAAUUGACCAAGAUGGGAAAUAAAAGUAAAACAGUCUUAAAACAUGAGCAUGUUCCCUGGACAAAUCUUAUGGCAGUGUAGCCAUGUGCUUGGAAAAAAGUAUUUUGUUGAUGAUUGAGUGAUAAUAACAAAAUAGCAGUAAUCUGACUUUUGGAAGGAAAAUACUUCAUUUAAUCAGAAAUUAUUUUUUUCCUGGGUUUUUGGUUGUUUGUUUUCCAGAAAAGAAAGUUAAUUGUUUCAUUAAAACUUAUUUUAUGGAUUUCUUCCCAGCUAAGACCCUCCUAACAUUUAUUCACAUUUUCAUGGACUGUGGACCAUCUUUCUAAAUUCUUCUCUACAAGACACAUUUUCUGAAACAUUUAUAACCACAGUCUAGCCUGAGAUGGAAACAGAUGUUGAAUUAGUACAUUUUGACACUAUUUAUUGGAGAAAAAAAUAAGAAAUGAUAAAUUAAGAUUGUCAAGGGGAAGAUUAAAAUGAUAUAUUCAAACUGGAGCUGAACUUGGCAGGGGGCACAACGAAUAAUAAGAUGGGAGUCUGCAGGUACAUUAGUCAGAAAAGGAAGACUUAAAAAGUGUACUCUCUCUGAUAAGCAAGAUGGGAUAACUGGUGACAGCAGACAAAGAAAAGGCUGAGGUACUCAACAAUGUUUUUACUUUCGUCUUUGCUGGCAGUCACUCUUCCUAUGUUUCUGUAGUCUCUCAUGUCCCAAAUGUCAAGGUAGAGACUGGGAGAAUUAUGUGUAAGCAAAGGUUGAAUUCAUGAUCACCAGCUGAACCUGAACAUGCAUGUUUCUAUGGGGCCCUGAUGGGAUGCAUCCUGGGGUCGUGAGGAAACUCGCUGAUGUAGUUGCCAAGGCACUCUCCAAUAUGUUUGAAAAGUCAUGGCAAACAGGUGGAAACCAAUGACUAAAAGAAGGAGGAAAUCACACCUAUUGUUAAAAAGGAUAGAUAGACAGACCAUGGGAACUACGAGAAUGGUCAGCCUCACCUCUGUACCAUGGAAAAGAUCCUCCCAGAAGCUAUGUUGAUAUAUGUAUGUGGAAAUGGGUAUGGAGAUGAUUUGAGAUAACCUACAUGGCUUCACAAAAACAAAUUGUGCCACCUACUGGCCUAUGGUGAGUGAUUGCAUCAGUGAGUUGCUGUCAACAGCUCAAUAUCUACAUGGAGAUAAAUGAUCAGUAGUGGUCCUCAAAGGGCAGAUAUUGUUUAAUAUUUUUAGUAAUGACAGUGGAUUUGAGUGCACUGUCAGCAAGUUUGCAGAUGACAGCAAGCUGAGUGGUAUGCUUGACAUGAUAGAUGGAAGGAAUGAUAUUUACAUGCAGAGUUGAGAAAUGGGACUACAUAAUCCUCAGCAAGGCCAGAUGAGGUGCAUCUGGGUGAGGGCAACCCCAAACAUCAGUAUGGACUGGGUGAUUAAGGGCAAUUGUGUGAAGAAGGACUUGGUGUACUGGUGGGUGGAAAGCUGCUGUAAAGUCUUCCUGUGUAGCUCCUGAGAAAUCAACAAGUAGGCCAUCUUAUUGCUAGAAGUAAAACCAAUUAUCAUUACUCUUUCUCACGUUAACUCAAAUAACAAAUCUCUCCAAAAUUACACAUCAUAACAAUAAAUAUAUAAAUAACUAAGCAAAGUCCACUCAUUUGGUGCAAUCGCAUAUAUUAAUAAGACUGCUUUAGAAUAGUCAGAAGUGCCAUCUGCUGCUACACACAAGAAUCUCACUCUCUCAGUCACCUCUGGGAGGAAAGGAACUCAUGUUUAAGCAGUAGCAUCUGUGUUUUUAGGAAAAUAAUAAACUCAAUAUUCAGCUCAUACCAAAGUCAGAUGUAGUCAUUGUAGGCAUUGGAUUUACUUUUAAUCAUAAUGUAACCUUACACAAGCACAUUUUUCAUUGCUUCUCUUAAUAUUUAAUGUGCUUACAAGGACUUUACAAUCUACAAGGUCUGCUCCAAAACUAAUGGCUUCUAUUUUAUGUUGGUGCACAAUGUUAGAGGCAGAUGCUGAUAGGAUGGCAGCAGAGGUUGAACCUUCCCACCAAUAUCCCAUUACAUGUUGUUGCUGUGUGACAGAUGGCAGCAGAGGGGACAUCUGACAGAAUGGAGUCUGCCAUGGUAGUGUGCAUGGAACAAAGGUAUGCAAUUGGAUUCCUCGAUGAAGAAGAAGCCAAAGAAAAAUGUACAGUGAUAAACACAAAAUAAAACUCCAUGAAGGAAAAUCACUUAUCAGAUGGGUCUAGAGGAAAAUUCAGUGAACUAAAAUACUUUGAGUUAGAUGGUCAUGGAAUUGAUCUUGCAGCAAGAGAUUAACGUUUUCAAGUGCCUAACCACAGCUGUUCAACUUCUCUGUUGCUGCUGGUUCUGCGAUUCCUCCACCUGCUGCUAUCUCAUCUGCGCUCCUCCUGGAACUACUUCUAAGAACACAGCCAGAAAAUUCUAGCCUUACUGGCAGGUAAAAUACAGCAAUAACCCAAUCAGGAAAGUUUCUUUUAGUGCCUUUGCAUUUUCAAAAGGUAGAUGCUACCUGAAUUCCCUUUUCCACAGUGAAAAUUUAUUUACCUAAAAACAGGCUUUUCAGUACCAUGAACAGUGAAAGUUCAUGUCAAUUUUACUUAGUUUCAAGUCAAAAGAUAGAACUGAAAAGUAGAACUCAUCAAAGGCAACAAAUUAUGUCUGUAUAUGUCAGUAAGGCAGUAUGCCAGAUAAAAGUGCCAAUAUGUUUUGUGUGUUGCAUAUGUUAGUCAUAUCAUAGAAGAAAGCAGAAAUACGUCUAUGUCAAUGUUUUGCAGCCCAUCAUCAUGGAACAUCAUCUUUGACUUUUAGGAUGUGAGAAGGAGUUGAAUUUAGUAAGAUACGCUGCACGGAUAAAGCAUGAUGAGUCAAAGUGAGCAGUAUCUAGAGCAUGACCAAGGAACAGUAGAAUAAAGGAUUCAGCCUGAAAAGUCGUGUGUAUAUAUAUAUAUAUAUGUGUGUGUAUGUGUGUGUGUGUAUAUAUGUAUAUGUGUGUGUGUGUAUGUGUGUGUGUAUAAAUAAAAAGGCUACAACCUGCUGGAGGUGCUUAACCCUUUUCCAUUCAUAACAGAGUAAACCUGGAUGUGUCACCACCAGAACUUAGCUUGCUAGCAAUGGGAUCUAUCAGUGCUGCUCCAAAAGUCACCAGUGUUUGUGUCAAUGAGGUGUGGGAAAUGGUGGGGUACACAUGGAGCUGAAACUCCUGCAUCUCAUAGAAUCAAAGAAUCAUUAAGGUUGAAAAAUACCUCUAAGAUCACAAAGUCCAACCUCACCCUAUCCUCACCAUACCCACUGAUCAUGUCACUCAGUGCCACAUCUCCACCAUCGCCUCCAGGGAUGGUGACCCCCCCCCCCCCCCCAGCUCCCUGGGCAGCCUGUGCCUGUGCAUCACCACUCCUUCUGAGAAGAACUUUUUUGUAACAUCCAACCUGAGGGGCUCUCGCAGAGGAUGCUCAAGGAGGGGAUCCUGCAGUGCUAGAAGAAGGAAGAUGGGCUAGUAACAGACACAGCUCCACAGGAUGUAUGCACCUGUGUGUAUAUGACUGUUUGUGCAUACUGGAAAUUUUUUUUUGGACUAAUCAUGGAUAGGUUUUAGAAAUUUGUAUAUUUAACAGCUGAUGAAUGCCUAGUAAUGUGGUUUGUAUGCUGUUUUACUGAUAUUAAUCUUGAAUGCAUAGCUCUGUGAUUGCCAUUUAAUUUUUUAAUUAAGAAAAAAAAAAGAAAACAACUUAGAUGCCAAUCUGAGCUGAGCUAUGUGAGCAGAGCAGUUUAUUUUCUCAUUGCAUUCUAUGACUUCCAUAUCAAGUAUGGCUGGCAUGGGCACCAAUUAUAUUUGGUAGCACUCCAGGAAGCUCUGUGAGGGAUUAUUUACUCUACUUCUUGGCACAUCUGUUUUUAUAAUACGACCAUAAGUUCUGUCACCGAUUUCAUUUCUUCAGUGUGAAGUGGUGAUGACAGGCAGAUCUCCAAUUCCCUGCAGUUACGUAGUUUGCAGAAUUUACCACUGAAGUACUGCCUGUUGAGGAAAAAUAUUCCAGAAUCCACAUACUGAUUAAAUACGAGUUAUUUCUAGUUGUAAAAGUAAACUCUUUGGAGUGCUAGUAGUGAACCUGAUGAUAAAAUAAUGCUUGCAGACAGACUGCAGAGGUGUUCUCUUUUUAGACUGCCAGGAUGAAAGCUUGUAAAAAAAGUUUUGUCACCCUCUUGUCAAAGCUGUGUGCAAACACUCCCUACAGCUCGCUCUCCAGCACUGCCCACUGCAGAUCUGAGUGGCUUUCUGGGUGACGGCAGGAAGGAAAAGGAACUGGGUUGUUUGGGAAAUAGAGCUCAAAAAGCCGUUUUCCUUUCUCCAGAUGUAGGAUGGGAACUUGACAGGACCUUCCAUGUGCCAGAAGCAUCCCGGUUCUUUCUGUUAGGAUGUAUACCUCAAAAUAAUUAACAAUUUAAUAACAUAUUUGUAAUGUUUAUGUUGCUUCACACUACUGCACCAGAAAAAGCAGUCCAGUCCUGCCAAACUAUCAAAACCUCCAGCUUCAACCUAGUUGACUUGAUGAGGAAUUAGUGACCAAGCAAAUUAGGUGUGGACACAAGUACAACACUGCUAUCUAGCUAUGCUGCUGAAUUGCAGUGCUAACGCACUUAUUUAAGAUGAAUUCCUGAGCUCCUGUCACACAGCGCCUGUCCCAGACAGGCUGUGCCUCUGGCCACGUGUCUUCACAGGAGCAGCUGAGCUGAUGGCCAUGACAGGCCCUGCUGUUUGUCAACAGAGGAGAGCGUAAGUGAAAAGGUGAAUAACUGCAUUACCUGAAGCACGUGACCCUACUCUCUGCAGACACAGCCAACAGUGUUCCCAUACAUUUUUGCCCAAUGCUCUAUGGAUGUUUACAGAGACUUCUGCAAAAGCAGCAGCCUGCAUGAAUCAUGUUCUGUGCAGCUUCAAUGAGGCAAGAAUAAAUCAACUAAAUCUAAACCCACAGGCUUUGUAAUUCAUAUUGAUUUUGCCCCAGUGAAUAUUUUGAUACUGUGUCCUGCAGGUUUUCUCUGGCCUGGAUGCAGUUUCACUCUUUUCCUUCUUGUUCAUUUCUCAGUUUUCACAGCAGAGAACAUUCUAUUUGAUCUUUUAGCACUUGCACUUCAGAGAUGUGUGAAAGACAACUGACAGUAAUGCUUGACUGAUCUGGACCAUGUUCUGCGCUGAUCUGCCUAAACUGCAACCUCCACCUGACCCAGAAUUACCUGCAGCUACACAAAGACUAUUAUAAUCCAGGGGGCAUAACCCUCUAUAAAUACAAAUGUGGGAAGCCUGAAAGGUUUUAAGUAUCUUACGGCAAUCGCAGACUUAGAUUUGCAAUUCGAUAGAAAUGGCCACCGUGCUCCGUGUUGACACACAAUUUCUGGUCUGCAAUGCUUUUGUUACUUGAGUAGGUGCUCAGUGCAAACAGAACAAGAAAAAGAAAAAAUACUCGCAGAAAUUCUUAUUUCUUCUUUUUUUUUUUUUUUUUUUCCUCAUAGUUUGGAUCCUUGGACCAAUAAUUGGAUAUAUAAUAAGUUAGAACUCCUUGACAUCUUGGGCUCAUCUCUAAAACCCCAGCUAACAGUUUUAUACUGAGUAUCUUUAGCCCCUGUUUUUCAGAACAGGGAGAAUGAAAGCAUUUGUUUGAGGGCAAAAGGGGACAUUAUUUAGGGCUGUUCAGGAGACAUCUAGAGUGUGCUUGAGAAAUGCUGCAUGGAGAGCAGCUUCUGGGAACAGGUCUGUCUGCUCUGAAUUGCUGCAGCAUGGCAAUUGCUGUAAUUGAGAGAAUUAAACUGUGCUCCCUUUACUAUGGACUCAGUGGACGUAUCUUUGGUUUCUUUGGAUAAGCGUGUUCUAUGGCAAUUUAAAGUGAAAAAAAAUAAGAGAAGUGGAUGAGGAGGGACCAGUUAAUUGUUUCUAUUGUUUUUGUGCAAAUAGACAGCUCUUCAGAGUCACUUUAGUCAUCCAUAGGAACUAUUUAAACUGGGGAAUGCUGAGGUUUUUUUCUAAUUGGAGCCACUGAUAAUGACGUUAUUUUAUUUAUUGCUACACUGACGUAAUAUUUCAUAUUUAACUGCAGGUUAACAGAUUCAGCCUGCUUUAAUCAUUAGCAGAUAAAAAAUGGAAACCCUGAAUUCUCAUAGAAGAACAUUUUCUUAUAUUUUUUAAAAGAAUUUGAUUCAGAAAAAGGCUGAAAGAGACACAGAUUCUCUCCUGCCUGAGAAUCCAAAGAUGGAAAGAAUAGACUAGGAAGGCAGUUGUAAAGUUAAUUUAUGGUAUCAAGAGUCUUUAUGCUGUAAAUAAUGUAUAUGUGAUUACAUGGGGCCUCAAGUGGUGCAAUCCCAGUGUCCUGAUUUUGGCUUGGAUAGAGUUAAUUUUCUUCCUAGUGGCUGGUGUGAGAUGCUGUGUUUUGGAUUUAGGAGAUGAAUGUGGAUCAUACACUGAUUUUGUUGUUGUUCUGAGCAGUGCUUACACUAGGUCAAGGACUUCUCCAGCUUCUCAUAAUGUCCUGCCAGAGAGUGAGCUUGGGAGGACUCAAGGAGCUGGGAGGGCACAGAACCAGGACAGAUGGCCCAAACUGGCCAUAUGAUGUCCUGCUGGACAGUAAAACUGAGAGAGUUGGCCGGGGAGUGGGGGGGACAGUAGUUCUGCUUGGGAUCUGCCUGUGCAUCAGGCAGCUGGUGGUGAGAACUGUGCUGUGCAUCCCUCGUUUUGUGUAUUAUUAAUAUUCCCUUUUUUUUUUUUCUUCUUUUUUUUUUUCUGUCCUGUCAAAUGGUCUUCAUCUCAACCCACGAUUUUUACUCUUUUUCUGGUUCUCUUCUCGAUUCCACUGGGGGGAGGGAGUGAGCAGCUGUGUGGUGCUGACCUGUCUGCUGGGUUCAACCACAGCACCCUGGAAAAAACAGCGGCAGAAGCUGAGCAGUGCCUCGGGCUGGAGAAAUAUUUUUCUGUAAGGUGUUUCCCAGACAUCUUCCACACUUGCAUGACAUAAGCAGGAUCUAAGCAGUUUUUCUCUUCCUAUGCUAUGAUAUGGGUUCUUCCAUACCUCCUGUCCACAUGUGACACUUCCUCUUUGCUCCAGCCUAAUUCUUCCCUUCCAGCCCAUGGGAUGCAAUAGCAGGACACACACCUAGGGAGAUUUGUUUCUAGGUUAGGCUAAUGGCAAAUACCUGUGGUUCAGUUCUGUGAGGUGUUCAUGCACUUGAAUUUGUUUCUCUUCUUUCCCUCUUUCUUUUCAGAUUCUAACAAAAACUACUAGUCUUUUUUUUUUUAAUCUAAUUUUUCUUUUUUUUUCCCCUCACAGUUGUCUCCUGAUGUCCCCAGUGUAAAUCACAUACAUCAUUACACAGCAGUUAGAGACAUGCUAUAGAUCAUCUGUUCUUCAUUUAUGAAUGAUUAGCCAUUCUCUUUUUGAAACACUGCUGGGAAGCAGUCUUUGAUCCUGAUUGCCUUUGGCUAGACCUCCAGACGUUGGCUUAGAUAGAAAUUUUGAUCCUAGACUAAAAAUGAGCAAGUGUUAGAAACAAAUGCGCUUUUAUCCAUAGAAAGGAUAUAAGGUCAAACUUCACUCUGGGCCCUCAACACAACUCAACUCAGAAGGAAAGUAGAGAAAGGCAACUAUUGAUUAAUUAGUACAGGUAGCUCUCGAAUUGUCAGAAUGCCAUAUUCACCAUUCAUUAGGAACUAUUUGCUAAAUUCAGAAUGCUAUCUUUUUGGUGUGGGGCACAAGGAUUGAGUACCUUAGUGAUGUGAGAUGCUUCAUUUUAAAUAGUAAGCUAUGGAUGUAUGUGAACUGCUUCUGAUAAGAAUGGAAGAUUUAUCUUUAGAAUGAAUAUAUAUAGUGGCUAAAUCUGUAUAUGCAGCUUUAUAUUUUGCAAAUAUUGUUUUCUCUUCAUUGCUUUCUAUUGGAAGGCAUAUGAACUAAAACUUCUUUUGUUAAAACAUAAAAAGGAAAAUAAAUUUGUACAAAUUAGAAGCAAUUUUUUAUGUUUUUUAAUCAAAAUUUGCUAAAAUUCUGUGAAUCUCUUUCAAAAAAAAUUGCUUUUGUUUCCUUCUUUUCUUUCUUUUUUUUUUACUAAUUUACAUUGCAUGAUUUUUACUUGAGUCAAGAAUUUCAUUGUAAAUAGUCAAAUGACCAUCCUGUUGUUUUUGUUUGGCCUGGAUCAUAAGGUAAGCAGAAGACAUUCUUUCACAGAUGAAAUCUUUGGUACAACACAGAAUGUUUCAACUGAGUUCUUUUGCAGAACACGAGUCAGAAAGAUAGAAGUUUUCCACCCAAAGUCUGUCUUUAUUUUAAGAUUUCUGACCAACUAUUUAAGAAUAACAAAAAAUACUUUUCACUUUGGCUCAUAUUGGAAAAUGAGUUUCCAGCCAAGCAGGUAGAAAGUAACUUACACUGCUAGAUAUUGUAAAAAGCUGGAAUAACUCUAUAACAGCAUGCAAAGCUGGAAUAACUCUAUAACAGCAAAGUAUUGGAUCUUUCUUUGUCUAGUCAUGAAAUUUAUUCCAUGUAAUAUAUAUGUAAUAUAUGGAGUUGGCUGCAGGGAGACUUUUUAAUUGAGUUCCUGUUCCUGUUUUUGAUGUUGUUGGUCGGUUGGUUGUUGCUGUUAUUUUAUUUUCACUGGCUACAUAUUAUUUGAUCCUUUGAUUUAAUGAAAUUUAACACUAGUGACAGUGAACCCUAACAUUGUUUAUAAACUUUCUUUUUCUGUUUUCUUAUGUUUCCAGUUCUGCUGAAAAACAGAACAAAACAAAACAAACCUGUCAAAUUUCAUGGUCACAUUAAAGCAAUACUUUGUACCCAAUAUGAAAAUUGAAUUUGAUAAUUUAUUUUAUAGUCUUGGGUAAUUUUCAUUUAUGUCUUUUUUUCAUAUUUGUAGGAAUCGAAUAUGCACCAUACCAUUAUUUUUCAUUUUGGCAUAUAGUGGCAAAUAAGCUUCCUGUAGGUUAAAUCAUAUUGGAACCAAGAGUAAUAAGACUGGAACCACAUAGUGAAUUUCAUCCCAAAUGUGCAUGCUUUCAGCCCAGAAAUCCAACUGCAUCCAGGAGUGCAUCAACAGAGGGGCAGCAGCAGGGAGAGAGAGGGAGUUGUCUCUCUGUUUACCCCUCAUGAGGCUUCACCUGGAGUGCUGUGUCCAAACCUGGGGCCCCCAGCACAAGAAGGAUGCAGAACUGUCCCUUCAAAUCCAUAUCUCUCCAAUUUAGAAAUAAGGAUGUGAUAUGGGACCAGGUCAAAGGCCUUUGUCACAGAAUAUGAUUUACAAUAUCUUAAGAAAGAGAAAGUAAAUGACAGUCUAAGAGAAAGAUCAGACUUCACUGCAACUGCAUUACUCUUGAAAUCUGCCUGACCCAUAGAAGAUGUUUCACCCUAAGCACAGCAAGGUUUCAUAGCAUGAAAGUAUUCUUUUGCAUUUUUGAGAUAUGACAUCCCAUAGUAGAUAUUGCACAUUAUAAGCCAAUAUACUCUGUCACAUAAUGUUUUAGGUAAAUUUAGCUUAUAUUUAAGGAAAAAGAAGUCUGAAGUUAUUUUUGUCUUGACCAAUUACGUUCUUCAAAUAAAUAAAGGUAAUCCAGUCUGCAAGGAAUCUCAGAUCUUCUAGCCAAAUUCAUGCAAAGCAAGACUGAUCGUGUCAUUACGCGAGGCUGCUCAAAGCCUUGUUCAGCUCUGUGUUGACUAUUUCCAAGCAUGGAGAUUCCAUAAAAAUUACAGACCUGAUAGCAUUCAGGAAUUAAUUUCACAGUACCUUGGCAAUGCACAUCUGCAAUUUCAGAGUCCUAUACUGUUUGUUUAUAUAGAUCUUGGAAAGAAAAUGCCAAGGGGGUUAAGGAUGUCAGUGCAUGAAGAGUCCACAUAACCACCCUACGCUUUUGGAUAGAAGAAUGGGGAUAGGCCUUCUGCACACACUUUUUUUUUCUUCUCUGAAGUGAACACUUGAACUUUAGGACACAAGAAAACAACUCCCAGAAUUUUUAGAUAACUUAAAUCUCUCCAAGCCUACCUUCUGCCAGUAUUAGAACACCACAGUAUACAUGCUAAAAAAGGACUACUGUUCCCUUAUAUUAACUUUCCUUCCUUUUAUUUCCAGUUCCUCUUUCUCAUCACUCACUAGAAUUACAUAACCUUUAUGUUACCUUAUGAACUCAAAGGUGAUGUACUUUCCUGAAUGCCGUCUUUCCGUGGAUAAAUGGAGUAUAAGGAAUACAUGAGGAAUGUUUACCUAGUUAACACAUUUUAAUUCAUCAUUUAGAAAGAGAAUUUUCCUUUCCCUUAUCUCCCUGCAAUUAUCUAUACAUUGCACUGUAUCAUGCAACAUUUUAUGUAGAUAAAGCUUUGUAAUAUUGUAGUUGAGCAUUAGUUAUUUAUUUCACCACCACUUAGUGAUUAUCAGUGUUCAAUCCCAGGCAUAGCUGAAUUUAAAAAUAGAAAUAAGAGCCUCAUUCCAUGAUAUUAAACAUAUUGGGAGGUUUUCAAUUGUCUUUAAGGAGACUUAGAUUAAAAUUGAGAGAGUAAUUACAGUAUCAGUAGCUUAUAUGAAUAAACCUAAUUUUCUCUAAAAAGAUUCCUAAUUAAUGGAUAGAAUAAGUGUAGUAGAUGUAUUAUAUUUGGAACUUAGCAAUACAUUUACUAUCAUGUCUCAAAAUUUUAAUUGAAAAGUUAAUUUAAAUUAGCAUUCAUAUGAACUGUCUUGUGAUUUGAAACUGUGCUAUGUGGCCAUCUUCAUUCCUAAAUUCUGCCAUUUCUCUGAAAACUAUCGUUUGUUAGAGAACACUAGAGACCUAUAUGAAGUCCAUUGUACAGAAGCAGCUGAGCUGUGAAAGAAAUUAUUACAUAG